GCCUACGACCAUCUCACCCUGAAUGCGCCCGAUCUCGUCUGAUCUCGGAAGCUAAGCAGAGUCGAGCCUGGUUAAUACUUGGAUGGGAGACUGCCUGGGAAUACAAGGUGUUGUAGGCU
Molecule: ribosomal RNA, 119 nt
Filed under: Petromyzon marinus (sea lamprey)
Lineage: Eukaryota; Metazoa; Chordata; Hyperoartia; Petromyzontiformes; Petromyzontidae
Source: RNAcentral